CGCGGGGCGCGCGCCAACUUCAAACGCGGGGCUGGGGCGGCGGCGUCACUUCGCGUGCGUGCGUGCGUGCGUCACGUGGUAGGGAGGGCGGGACGGCGCCGCGCUGAGGGGAGGCUGUGCCCCGCCCGGGCCCGGCCCUGAGGGGAGCGGGGCGUUAUCCGCAGCGCCCGAAGUUUUGCGUCCGUUCCGCGUCCGCUGGGGCAGGAAGCCGCCUCAGCUAUAGGAACGGGGAAGGUGUGGCAUGAGGCCGGGGUGGAGUUAGUGCCGAGGAGGGGUUGGGAGGCUGAAGGAUCGCUGGGUUUUGUGAGUUGGGUGAGGAGCUGAUAGGGCUGCCUUGAAUUCGAGGGAAACCUCCGGGUGUUUUUAUAAAUAUCGACGAGUUGGCACUUGAGUGGAACGCGCUCAGAGUUACCUCAGCGCUCAGAGUUACCUCAGCGCUGGUAGAGGCGAGCUGAGGGCGAUUCCUCUGAGUCCCGUUUUUAUUUUCCUACCAUUAAAGCAUGCAAAGUGAAGCUAGGUUAAAAUUUGAAUGGUUUAAGGUGCGUUGGAAAGAAGUUAUUUCUUCCUACUUUGACACACCCUACAGACGAGCUCAGAGAGAAGGCAACUGAAAGAGACCCAAAUGCCGCCCUCCUGCCAGGCUGGGCAGUUCUGGGGCUCUUAUAUUUGAGGCUGGUCGCAAAUUCCUGCUCAGGUAUUUCCCUUGUGAGGUAUCACAGCAGAGCAAAAGCUGCUUGGCAGCCCAGCCUUCACCCCAACCUGCUUGGCAAGUGACAAAACUAUCAGACAGGCACAGCAUACAUUAACAUGUGUAAACUUUGCCCUUAAAUCCCAGCCUGAGCAUCACUCCUGCUGUGGAGCUGUGCCAUAGGAAUGGGAAGAGCUUGCCAGUCUACUGUGGAGGAGAUGAUGUUAAAGCCACACAGAUGAGGUUAUUCCUAGGAGUUCCAGGAGCAGAGUCAUUUCGUCCCGACGUGCAGCACCCUGCCUGCCCUGACAGAAGGUUGCUUUCCUGCUCCAAUCUCUGCAGCCAAGGUACAGCUUAUCCUGGAAGAUGGUAUUCUACUGCAGGGAUGGGGCCAGGCUUUGGCAGAGCAAGGAGAACACCCGCAUAGGCUGCUGGAGCGCUGAGCUGUUCGUACUUCCAGGGCUUAGCUGGGGGAAAAAGAAACAACACCAAACAGAAGUCUGGGCCACUUAUUACCUGCAGGGUGUUUCUGUCCACAGCUGUUACCCAACAGCUGCGUGUGCCAGCCAAGACCCGUAUUCUCACUCCUGCUGCCUGCAGCUGGGAGCAUGAUACAGAGCUAUGGGAGAAAUACUGUGCUUUUGGCCUGCGGCUUGUGCAACCCCCAAGCAGGUGGAAUAAUGCUAAGCUAGCACUGAUGGGGCAGAGCAUCUCCUGCUUGUACCUUUCCUGCAGUUCUGUCUGCAGAUAAAGCCAUAUCCAAAAGUGGUUGCUCUGAAGGCAGCACCCUGACAGGUGUCAGGCUUGCUGAGGUGUUGCUGCGUCUGCUUGGUGCUACUGUGUCCCAGGUACCCAGCACAGACCUGGGAGGCAGAGAGCUGACCAGAACUGCCCUGAGCCACCUCCUGGCCUUGCAGGCUUAUGGUACCAAAGCACACCCCAGCAUGAGAGAUGCCUGGGUGCUCCUGCUGCUGACGUGGUGCUUCCCAGCUAGUUACAGGAAGCAGAUGUCCCAUUUGGGGCACCCUGUGCACCAUGGCAUGCUUUCAUCCCUUUUGCAGGCUCUUACGAUGCACCUCCACUAGCAGCCCCCUACCAAAACAGAACAACCCAAGAGCCUGAGCUCCCUGGGACAUCUGGGUCCCCUGCAAGUGCACAGUGGGCAGGCAGAGCCAGCAGGAUAAGAACAUGAAGUCUGAGGCAGCCUGACAAAGGACUGUUAGUAAGGACAGCGGUCCCGGAGGCUGCGAGCUGCUGGGCUUUGCUAAGAAACCCAUCGAGAUGGUGCUGGCCCCAGGGGUCCUUGCUUCUGCUGGCUGUUGGGGCAUUUUGCUGCUUUAACCUACUCCUCUCUCAGAACUGUGAGGGCUGCUAAGAUGAUUAAGAGCUUGGAGCACCUGCCAUAUAAAAAAAAAGAGCCUGGGAGAAUGGAGGCUUGGAGCGGUUCUUAUCCAUGUCUCUCAACACUUGGUGGUGGGUAAAGAAGAGAGACCAGUUCUCCUUAGUGAUGCCCAGUGACAGAAUGAGAGCCAUACUGAUAGCAAAAUACAGGAGUUCCAUUUAAACUAAAGAAAUGUUUUUUCUGUGAGGCUGGCUGAAUACUGGAACAGGUGGCACAGAAGUGUUCUGUCAUCUCCAUCUUUGGAAACGGUCCUGGGCAGCCUGCUUGAACUAACUCACGUUGAGCAGGGGGGGGGAAUGGAAGGCCAUGUUCAGAGGUCCCUUCCCAACUCAAUUCCACAAUUCCUUGAUGCGUUGUGGCUUGGUAUCGCUGUGAUGAGACAUACAUGGUCCUACCAUUCUGACUUCCAGCCAUUGCCUCCCUUCUCUGGGGCAGGUCAGGGCUUCCCUGUGCUGAGCACAGCUCAGCUGUGACCCUGCUCUGCGCAAUGCAUUGUGGCGCCUUAGCGAGGCUUCCCAUGCCCUGCAGCCCAGGUUUGGCAGCAUCAUGGUAACUCUCACACAGCUCAGGGACAGUGAAAACUCCUUCUGCUGCUAAAAGAGAUAGCUGCUGUACUGCUGGUAAAAGCAGAAGGUUGAUCCUCACCUGAGAAACACCCACCCAGCUUUCAGUCCAGGGAGACACCCCCAGGCCAGAGCUCCCUGCCCCUUGGCACAGGGGCUGAACACCCACGCAGCAACACCGACGCUCAUUAAAGGUUUACUUUUAUUUCUGGUUUAAAAUCAAAAUUAGUCAUUCUCUGUAAUUACAUUAUAUAUAGAU
Molecule: long non-coding RNA, 2912 nt
Filed under: Gallus gallus (chicken)
Lineage: Eukaryota; Metazoa; Chordata; Aves; Galliformes; Phasianidae
Description: long non-coding RNA NONGGAT001814
Source: RNAcentral